ACUCAACGGCAACCUCACAAAUCUGACUAGAGAGCAAUGGGCGAGCAGGAACAUGAACGGAGUAUUCAAACAUAGCCUCGCCGGCGACUCAAAACCUCGCUUAAAACUCGAACGACGACCUCACAAACUCUAAGUUUUAUAAGCAGAACAGAAGUGGUAACAAUGUCACGGCGACGAAGAGAUCUGAGCCAUACGGCAAUCGCCAUAGGAGAAUACAACAAGGAAACUAUUUGAGGUUGCUUCAUUGCAACUUCUGUAAAUAAUGGUUGUUUGUUGCUGCUGCUAUAGAGGAGAAGUAGAACAAUCCAAACCAGUAGAAGAAUACUAGGAUCUAAACACUUAAUUCUAAGCUAUGGAAUUAGUUUUAUCAACAAAUAAUCAAUCACAUACUAGCUUCAAAUUUGCAAACAUUUUUUCAACAGCAAAUAACAUGCGUUUAAAUCAAUUGACCUGUAUUUAUGCGGUUCAUAAUAAUUAUCUGAAAUCGCGGUUGAACACUUCCCUUGAAACAAAUAUAAACAUACGUUCAAAUCAGCCCAAACAUUGAAAGCAAGUGGAAAGUAAUUGUGUUUAGAAUUAUUAUUCAAACAAGAACAGAGAAAUUGACCUGUAUUUAUGCGGUUCAUAACAAUUAUCUGAAAAUCGCGGUUGAACACUUCCCUUGAAAACAAAUAAAGAUCCUUCCAAAUCCACAUUGCUAAACGAAUACAGCGUCGAUGGACUCCCUAAAAACUGAACUAGUAAUCAGAACCUAUGAUCUUCAUUUAAAAUGAACUUCGAACAAAACUAACUCGCCGGAUCCUUCGACGGAACUCGACUACUCGUUUGAUUUUUGCCGAAAUUUAGAGCUGAUUGGGACUGUCUGACAUUCCUUUUUUCGCUACAAUUUUGGUGGAUUUCACUUCUUUUGGCCAGAUUUUGAGCAAUUUCGUGGGUGUUCUAUGUGGGAUAUGAAUGGACUUCUGUCCGUCUCUUCUUUAGUUUUUCCUAUCCUCUUUUUGUGUGUAUAUUUUGGUUUUAUAGAGUGUAAAGGGUAGGGUGUUAUGUGAGGGAGUAAUUUUCGGGGGGAAGUAUUUUGUGGGGAAAUAAUUUUUGGGGAGGUCUCAUAUGGGGAGAAGUGUUU
This 1123-nucleotide long non-coding RNA is filed under the name Nicotiana benthamiana. Its description in RNAcentral is "long non-coding RNA (NBEN_LNC033431)". Lineage: Eukaryota; Viridiplantae; Streptophyta; Magnoliopsida; Solanales; Solanaceae. The record is from RNAcentral.